AAUUAAGGGAAGCUGCGAGGUAGGCAAUUUCGCUUCAACUCUCAGGCAUUUUCCACGAAUCUAUCUCCUCUGCCCAGUCUUCAUCUACUAGUCCUUGUGCGAUCAGUGGGAGGUGUCUGUCGCGUACGAUAUCAGUACAAAUGACAUAAUGGAGAGAAAUAUGGAGAUGAAUUGCGCAGUGUGAGUGCAAUUAAUAGCUAAAAGCCAAGUUCACAGAGGGACAACGAAGUUGGUGUUUCGAGAUAAACGUUGGGGCUCUGGAAAUUGAAUCAAUCGGUGGAUAUUCUAUUCAUUCAAUUAUCGUCAUAUUUGUACUAACUUUCGGUCUGUAAAAUCUUCAAUCGCCAUUCUUCAAACGAGAUAUUACGAGGAGUGAGCUUUGAUGCACUGCGAGCUUCAUUGGAUCCGAGUCACCGAGGAUAAUUUAAUUCUCUCCUUGGUAAAUUUCCAUUGAUCUUAUGAAGACACAAAAGCUCACGAAAAAUAACCGAUAUGAAAUUCGCCUGUUGGUGUGUAACCAGUGCAGCAUGAAGGGGACACCUUACCAGAGGUGAAAUAUACGAGUGAAGUGAAAUUGAAUAGAGCUUCACAGAGAUGUACUCUCAAUUCACGCUCUAUCUAUACUUGCUUGGUUUUUCAUUGAAAUAUGACACGUUUAACGGUCAGAGUUCACCGAACCGCACAAACCCGGUCUUUUCGUCAUUCGGCCAUUUCACUUGGUCAAAAAUUUCCAAACGUGGAAACUAGAUAUAUUGCUCUAGAUUUUCCCUCGGAUUGAGAACAAUUGCUUCACACAUGAAAAAUUUUUG
Fopius arisanus is the source of this 809-nucleotide long non-coding RNA. RefSeq lists it as uncharacterized. The record is from RefSeq and is a predicted model, not a curated record. The transcript is spliced from 3 exons. NCBI's taxonomy places the organism in Eukaryota, Metazoa, Arthropoda, Insecta, Hymenoptera, Braconidae.